This 909-nucleotide long non-coding RNA is filed under the name Chinchilla lanigera (long-tailed chinchilla). Its description in RNAcentral is "lncRNA (ENSCLAG00000028878.1)". The record is from RNAcentral. Lineage: Eukaryota; Metazoa; Chordata; Mammalia; Rodentia; Chinchillidae.
UCCGGGCAGUUUACCUUUAGUGGGACCCUGUCUGAAAAUAUAAGUCAAUAAUAAAUAAAUAAGGGCUGGGGCAGUUAUUCCGUGUGAAGGCCCUGGGUUCAAUCCCCAGUGCCGCACAAGUUAACAAGCAAACAACCUCCCCCAAGUAACCAAAACGGGGACCAGCUCCAGAGGAGAGGUUCUUGGAUCUCAGAGCAGGGGUCGGGUUGCUGGCUACCCACGUGGGAGCCACCCGUGACCCAGGGCUGCAGGUACUGGGAAAGGCCGCACUGACCGGGGAGCAAGCUGAGCGGGUCUGGCCAGCGGGCGGCGACGCUUGGGCUCCGCUGCCGCCCUGGGAAAGACUGGGCCCAGGACCCCGGUGAGCCAGGGCCGGGGCCUCCACCCAGACACCCGGGCCGCGCACGACGCUUUACAGCUAAGUUCCCCGACCUGCGAAGAACACAGAUCAGGAUCAGGAGCAUGCUGUGCCCACUGUGAAGCUUUUCCCGUGCUUGCAGAGUGACUCCAAGGCCCGCUUACGCCGUGGAGACCCAGCUCACCUGCCUUGCCCCGUGGCCGUGCUCCGGGCUCCAGCACCGCUGACCGUACCUGCUCUGUGGUCCUGGCGUUGUGGAAGCAGCUGUCACGGGCAUCCCCGAGCGGUGCCGAGCUGUGUGAGGAGGAAGGACGCGCCCAGGCCGAAUGCCAAGCGUGGAAGCUUAGACACGCGCGGACCACUCGCGCCCCUCCACAAGGAGGCCUCCCUGGGGCUGCAGACUGCUGUGCAAACCUGAGGCCUGGGGCUGGACUCCGCGGACCACGCCAAGGGUGGCAUCUGGCCUUCAUGGACAUCAGUAAUUUCCCCCAGUGUAGAAGCUCAGGGGGCCCGACUGUAACAGAGUACAAACUAAAUACAGCGCACUUCAC